RNAcentral lists this long non-coding RNA (341 nucleotides) under Pogona vitticeps (central bearded dragon). RNAcentral describes it as "lncRNA (ENSPVIG00000019306.1)". The record is from RNAcentral. Lineage: Eukaryota; Metazoa; Chordata; Lepidosauria; Squamata; Agamidae.
CAAAAAAACAGAAGUACCAGGAACCCAAGACAAGUUGUAAGGCAAGAGAGAACUAUUUGGUAGUCCUGGAGUAAUCAUUAGUAAGUUUGUCAGUCUCCGUAGGCCUCUGCGGCACCACAUUUCCUUGGGAGAGAUGCUUUGCGUGUGUGAAAUUAAUUAGCACAUGCUAACGACCAAUUUGCAUGCACCACAGCCCACAGCCAUGCUGCACAAUGUAGCAACAUCAUAAUAAAAAUUCAGAAACAGCAGCGCUUAAAAAUAACUACUUGGCCAAUUUAAUCUUUUUAAAACACCCAUUGAACAUCUCUAAGUGCACAGAAACAAAAAAUACAACUCAGAAA